GGGGGGCUGGCUCUUUGGGGGGGCUGUUUUUUCUGGGGGGGAGGGGGGUUGGCUCUCUGGGGCCCCUGAGGCAGGUUGGGGCCCUUAGUGCCGGGCAGAGGAGGGUGGAGAUGUCAUGGCGGCCCAGCUUCCUCCUCCUCCUCUCGGGGAGCCCCUGUGAUGGCGCUGUGGGGGGGCCCCGGUUCCUGGCGGCGGGGGGGGCUCAGGGCUCGGGCUGCCCCUUCCUGUCUCCCUGGCGGGCAGGCCCUGAUUACUGGCCGGAUCUCCUGCUGCUCGGCUCCCGGUCCCUGCGCUCCCAGCUCGCACUCCUUCCCUUUGUCACCCUCCGUCCGACUGACCGCAUUUGCCUGUCGGGAUUUUUUUUUUCCUGCAAUGCCCUCCUCCCUCUCCUCGCGUUGACGUAGCGCCUAAGGCGGAGACUGGGAAUAAGUUACGGAAAAGGCGCAAGUGCGCGUGAAGAAUACGAGUAAGGGCGGGGGGAGUACUGCCAGCUCCUUCAUGACGUCCAACCGCGAGAUGGCCACGCCUACCACACUCGCCAGCUCCGAAGCACCAAUCAGAGCGCCGGAUAGCAGAGGGGCGGUGAUAACGGCUUCCGAAAGACCAAUAGAAAUCCACUCCACUCUCCACUCAGCGCUUUUUAUUGUUCCUCCCCCUUGUCUUAAUACGUGAGAUACCCGCACACGAUUGGCU
Pelobates cultripes (western spadefoot toad) is the source of this 693-nucleotide non-coding RNA. The record is from the annotation of a GenBank genome assembly. NCBI's taxonomy places the organism in Eukaryota, Metazoa, Chordata, Amphibia, Anura, Pelobatidae.